CAAAGGAAUUGACGGGGACCCGCACAAGCGGUGGAGCAUGUGGUUUAAUUCGAAGCAACGCGAAGAACCUUACCAAAUCUUGACAUCCUUUGACCGCUCUAGAGAUAGAGUUUUCCUCUUCGGAGGACAAAGUGACAGGUGGUGCAUGGUUGUCGUCAGCUCGUGUCGUGAGAUGUUGGGUUAAGUCCCGCAACGAGCGCAACCCUUGAACUUAGUUGCCAUCAUUCAGUUGGGCACUCUAAGUUGACUGCCGGUGACAAACCGGAGGAAGGUGGGGAUGACGUCAAAUCAUCAUGCCCCUUAUGAUUUGGGCUACACACGUGCUACAAUGGACAAUACAAAGGGCAGCGAAACCGCGAGGUCAAGCAAAUCCCAUAAAGUUGUUCUCAGUUCGGAUUGUAGUCUGCAACUCGACUACAUGAAGCUGGAAUCGCUAGUAAUCGUAGAUCAGCAUGCUACGGUGAAUACGUUCCCGGGUCUUGUACACACCGCCCGUCACACCACGAGAGUUUGUAACACCCGAAGCCGGUGGAGUAACCAUUUUGGAGCUAGCCGUCGAAGGUGGGACAAAUGAUUGGGGUGAAGUCGUAACAAGGUAGCCGUAUCGGAAGGUGCGGCUGGAUCACCUCCUUU
RNAcentral lists this ribosomal RNA (633 nucleotides) under Staphylococcus pseudintermedius. RNAcentral describes it as "bacterial SSU rRNA". It matches the Rfam family "Bacterial small subunit ribosomal RNA", at positions 902 to 1533 of the family's 1533-position model. Lineage: Bacteria; Bacillati; Bacillota; Bacilli; Caryophanales; Staphylococcaceae. The record is from RNAcentral.